UAAAUCCCUUUAAUGUUAUUAGGCUUUUGAAAAGAAAGGCAGAGGAGAAAGUUGCCUUCAGGUAUUACCCAAAGUCCCUUAAAAAACAAGAGGACUUGGCUGCCAUUUUGGAGCCAGGAAAGGAAGAACCAUGUGGCAAAUGGCUCAAGGACAAGCUGGUAAGUAUUCAAGUGCUGCCAAACCUCAAUAAUUGGAAAAGACUGACCGGUGUCCACUGGAUUGAGCCACUAGGGAGACUGGGGCCAGGGGAGCUGGGUGUGAGGUGGGUCACAGAGGCCUGGGUGUGGCGGUGGUGUGACAAAUGUGUGGGAUGAGGUGGAAGGCCGGGGCAUAGAGUGGGCACACUGCAGGCUCAUGGGAGACUGGUGGCUUCACCGGCUGGUUCCAUCUGCCUUGAGAGGUGAAGAGUCUCCUGAAUGAGGGGCAGUGGAGGAUGCAGGUAUACUUGAGGCUUUUCGGUGAUGGACAUCUCACUACCUUCUGAUGAGACUCCUCUGAUGAUUGGACUCUUCUAAAACUGCAUCCCACGGAGCCAAAUGUUCUUUCCCUUUAAUUCACACGUGUGCCUACUUCUGACUUCUAGAGUUGGCAAGUUCUUCUUCCUCAGAGCCUCUGAAAUAGAGCAAGGCUUCUUUGGGGAAACAGUCCAUUAAUUUCCUCCGAACUUGGCAUGAAGUGGUUUUGAGACCUGUGGUGUUCCGAGAAUGUGGCGUCCAGAACUGACACAGAACCAGAAACUUGAUGUGGCCACCAUGCGUGUGUUUGGACCAUUACAUACCCUAGUAUGGACAGAGUAUCAGUAAUAAUACCACCAACCUAUA
Molecule: long non-coding RNA, 821 nt
Organism: Felis catus (domestic cat)
Lineage: Eukaryota; Metazoa; Chordata; Mammalia; Carnivora; Felidae
Exons: 2
Source: RefSeq, a predicted model, not a curated record